This 275-nucleotide long non-coding RNA is filed under the name Rattus norvegicus (Norway rat). RNAcentral describes it as "long non-coding RNA NONRATT014161". The record is from RNAcentral. Lineage: Eukaryota; Metazoa; Chordata; Mammalia; Rodentia; Muridae.
UCUGCAUGCAGAGAGCUUUAGGAUUAGUCCUUGGCAUCACAUGCAGGCAAACAAAAAACCCCCUCAUACCACUGUUAGAAUAUAAAGAUAGUGCAGUUACGAUAGAAAACAGCAUGGGCCAGGCCUGGUGGUACACACCUUUACUCACAGCACUCAGGAGUCAGAAGCAAGUGGAUCUCUAUAAGUUUGAGGCCAGCCUGGUUCACAAAAAUAACAUCCAAGACAGCCAGGGUUGUUACACAGAAAAGCCCUGUCUCAAAAAUAAAAAAAAAAAA